RNAcentral lists this ribosomal RNA (690 nucleotides) under Salinicola sp. RNAcentral's name for it is "bacterial SSU rRNA". It matches the Rfam family "Bacterial small subunit ribosomal RNA", at positions 596 to 1285 of the family's 1533-position model. The record is from RNAcentral. Lineage: Bacteria; Pseudomonadati; Pseudomonadota; Gammaproteobacteria; Oceanospirillales; Halomonadaceae.
GAAAGCCCCGGGCUCAACCUGGGAACGGCAUCCGGAACGGCCAGGCUAGAGUGCAGGAGAGGAAGGUAGAAUUCCCGGUGUAGCGGUGAAAUGCGUAGAGAUCGGGAGGAAUACCAGUGGCGAAGGCGGCCUUCUGGCCUGACACUGACACUGAGGUGCGAAAGCGUGGGUAGCAAACAGGAUUAGAUACCCUGGUAGUCCACGCCGUAAACGAUGUCGACUAGCCGUUGGGACCUUUAAGGACUUAGUGGCGCAGUUAACGCGAUAAGUCGACCGCCUGGGGAGUACGGCCGCAAGGUUAAAACUCAAAUGAAUUGACGGGGGCCCGCACAAGCGGUGGAGCAUGUGGUUUAAUUCGAUGCAACGCGAAGAACCUUACCUACCCUUGACAUCCAGAGAAGUUGGCAGAGAUGCCUUCGUGCCUUCGGGAACUCUGAGACAGGUGCUGCAUGGCUGUCGUCAGCUCGUGUUGUGAAAUGUUGGGUUAAGUCCCGUAACGAGCGCAACCCUUGUCCUUAUUUGCCAGCGAGUNAUGUCGGGAACUCUAAGGAGACUGCCGGUGACAAACCGGANGAAGGUGGGGACGACGUCAAGUCAUCAUGGCCCUUACGGGUAGGGCUACACACGUGCUACAAUGGCCGGUACAAAGGGUUGCGAGACCGCGAGGUGGAGCGAAUCCCAGAAAGCCGG